RNAcentral lists this ribosomal RNA (377 nucleotides) under uncultured bacterium. RNAcentral describes it as "bacterial SSU rRNA". It matches the Rfam family "Bacterial small subunit ribosomal RNA", at positions 524 to 898 of the family's 1533-position model. The record is from RNAcentral.
GACGUAGGGGACGAGCGUUGUCCGGAUUUAUUGGGCGUAAAGAGCGCGUAGGCGGUUUGGUAAGUCGGACGUGAAAAUCCGGGGCUCAACCCCGGACGUGCAUCCGAAACUGCCCGACUAGAGGUAGGUAGGGGAGAUCGGAAUUCCUGGUGUAGCGGUGAAAUGCGCAGAUAUCAGGAGGAACACCGGUGGCGAAGGCGGAUCUCUGGGCCUUACCUGACGCUGAGGCGCGAAAGCUAGGGGAGCAAACAGGAUUAGAUACCCUGGUAGUCCUAGCCGUAAACGUUGGGUGCUAGGUGUGGGCGGAAAUCGACCCCGUCCGUGCCGGAGCUAACGCAUUAAGCACCCCGCCUGGGGAGUACGGCCGCAAGGCUAAA